RNAcentral lists this transfer RNA (66 nucleotides) under Curculionoidea sp. 17 KM-2017. Its description in RNAcentral is "tRNA-His". The record is from RNAcentral. Lineage: Eukaryota; Metazoa; Arthropoda; Insecta; Coleoptera.
ACUUAAAUAGUUUAAUAAAAAAUUUUAAUUUGUGGAAUUAAAGAUAUAAAUAAUUUAUUUUAGGUA